RNAcentral lists this ribosomal RNA (484 nucleotides) under uncultured bacterium. RNAcentral describes it as "partial 16S ribosomal RNA". It matches the Rfam family "Bacterial small subunit ribosomal RNA", at positions 29 to 507 of the family's 1533-position model. The record is from RNAcentral.
AUUGAACGCUGGCGGCAUGCUUUACACAUGCAAGUCGAACGGCAGCGCGGUCUUCGGUCUGGCUGCGGGUGGCCAACGGGCGAGUAAUGGAUCGAAACGUGCCAACUUGCGGGGUAUUGCCCGGCGACAGAGGGAUUAUUACCGCAAACGCCCAGACGAUGUAAGGGGGGAACCAAAGGACCUUGGGCCCUUGCAGCGGCCGAUGUCGGAUUAGCGAGUUGGUGGGGUGAAGGCUUACCAAGGCGACAAUCCGUAGCUGGUCUGAGAGGACGACCAGCCACACUGGAACUGAGACACGGCCCAGACUCCUACGGGAGGCAGCAGUGGGGAAUAUUGGACAAUGGGGGCAAGCCUGAUCCAGCCAUGCCGCGUGCGGGAAGAAGGCCUUCGGGUUGUAAACCCCUUUUGUUCGGGAAGAAAACCUCUGGGCUAAUACCCCGCGGGGAUGACGGUACCGGAAGAAUAAGCACCGGCUAACUACGUG